Molecule: ribosomal RNA, 1398 nt
Filed under: marine metagenome
Description: bacterial LSU rRNA
Rfam family: Bacterial large subunit ribosomal RNA
Source: RNAcentral
GACUUGUGGCUGGGGGUGAAAGGCCAAUCAAACUCGGAGAUAGCUGGUUCUCUGCGAAAUCUAUUUAGGUAGAGCGUCAUCCGAAUACCCCGGGGGGUAGAGCACUGGAUGGGUAAUGGGACCUUACCGGUUUACUGAUCCUAACCAAACUCCGAAUACCCGGGAGUACUAGAUGGCAGACACACUGUGGAUGCUAACGUCCAUAGUGAAGAGGGAAACAACCCUAACCUACAGCUAAGGCCCCUAAUUCAUGGCUAAGUGGGAAAGCAGGUGGGACGACCAAAACAACCAGGAAGUUGGCUUAGAAGCAGCCAUCCUUUAAAGAAAGCGUAACAGCUCACUGGUCUAAAUAAGGGUUCCUGCGGCGAAGAUGUAACGGGGCUAAAGAUAUGCACCGAAGCUUAGGGUUCAGAAUUUAUUCUGAGCGGUAGCGGAGCGUUCCGUAAGUGGUUGAAGCCGAAGGGUAACCGACGGUGGACAUAUCGGAAGUGCGAAUGCUGACAUGAGUAGCGACAAACAGGGUGAGAUGCCCUGUCGCCGAAAGACCAAGGGUUCCUGCUCAACGCUAAUCGGAGCAGGGUUAGCCGGCCCCUAAGACGAGCCCGAAGGGGGUAGUCGAUGGGAACCACGUAAAUAUUCGUGGGCCUGAAGAUGUGUGACGGAUCGUGGAAGUUGUUCGACCUUAUUGGAUUGGUCGGGCAGCCAAGCGGUUCCAGGAAAUAGCCUCUUCAAUAUAGACCGUACCCGAAACCGACACAGGUGGUCAGGUAGAGAAUACCAAGGCGCUUGAGAGAACUGCGUUGAAGGAACUCGGCAAAUUGCACGCGUAACUUCGGAAUAAGCGUGACUCACCUAGCGCAAGCUAGAAUGAGUGGCACAAGCCAGGGGGUAGCGACUGUUUAGCAAAAACACAGCACUCUGCUAAGUCGGCUUCAAGACGACGUAUAGGGUGUGACGCCUGCCCGGUGCUCGAAGGUUAAGAGAAGGAGUGCAAGCUCCGAAUUGAAGCCCGAGUAAACGGCGGCCGUAACUAUAACGGUCCUAAGGUAGCGAAAUUCCUUGUCGGGUAAGUUCCGACCUGCACGAAUGGCGUAACGACUUCCCCACUGUCUCCAGGAUAUGCUCAGCGAAAUUGAAUUCUCCGUGAAGAUGCGGAGUACCCGCGGUUAGACGGAAAGACCCCGUGCACCUUUACUGCAGCUUCAGAGUGGCAUUAGGAAAGAAUUGUGUAGAAUAGGUGGGAGGCUUUGAAACUUGGGCGCCAGUCCGAGUGGAGCCAUAAUGUGAAAUACCACCCUAUUGUUUUCUGGUGUCUAACCUAGAUCCGUUAUCCGGAUCAGGGACCCUCUGUGGCGGGUAGUUUGACUGGGGCGGUCGCCUCCUAAAGAGUAACGGAGG